RNAcentral lists this transfer RNA (84 nucleotides) under Acidimicrobiia bacterium. RNAcentral describes it as "tRNA-Gly". Lineage: Bacteria; Bacillati; Actinomycetota; Acidimicrobiia. The record is from RNAcentral.
GCGGACCAAGAAGGCAUGCGCUGGAAGGGAAAUUCGACCUUGCCAAGGUUGGGGUCGCGGGUUCGAAUCCCGUCGUCCGCUCCA